This 408-nucleotide ribosomal RNA is filed under the name uncultured bacterium. RNAcentral's name for it is "bacterial SSU rRNA". It matches the Rfam family "Bacterial small subunit ribosomal RNA", at positions 976 to 1381 of the family's 1533-position model. The record is from RNAcentral.
UGGCCUUGACAUAAACAGAAUUCAGUAGAGAUAUAGAAGUGCUAGUUUACUAGAGCUGUUAUACAGGUGCUGCACGGCUGUCGUCAGCUCGUGUCGUGAGAUGUUGGGUUAAGUCCCGCAACGAGCGCAACCCUCGCUAAUAGUUAAUAACGGUUCGGCCGAUGACUCUAUUAGGACUGCCUGGGUAACCAGGAGGAAGGUGAGGACGACGUCAAGUCAUCAUGGCCCUUACGGCCAGGGCUACACACGUGCUACAAUGGGGUAUACAGAGAGCCGCAAUACCGCGAGGUGGAGCAAAUCUUAAAAAUAUCUCCCAGUUCGGAUAGCAGUCUGCAACUCGACUGCUUGAAGUUGGAAUCGCUAGUAAUCGUGAAUCAGCAAUGUCACGGUGAAUACGUUCCCGGGUCU